AGCGGAAUCUAGCACAAUGGGGGCAACCAUGAUCCACCCAUGGUGCUAAAGUGCUUUAGGCCCGAGGGAAAUAAAGAUCUUUAAUAGGGGAGGAUUAUGACGGUACCCGUAGAAGAAGCCCCGGCUAAAUUCGUGCCAGCAGCCGCGGUAAUAUGUAGGGGGCGAGCGUUAUUCUGAAUUACUGGGCGUAAAGCGCGCGCAGGCGGUUUUGUAAGUCAGAGGUGAAAGCCCCGGGCUCAACCCGGGAAUUGCGUUUGAUACUGCAAGGCUAGAAUCAGGGAGAGGGGGGUGGAAUUCCGAGUGUAGCAGUGAAAUUCGUAGAUAUUUGGAGGAACACCA
Molecule: ribosomal RNA, 339 nt
Filed under: uncultured bacterium
Lineage: Bacteria
Description: bacterial SSU rRNA
Rfam family: Bacterial small subunit ribosomal RNA
Source: RNAcentral